This 584-nucleotide ribosomal RNA is filed under the name Peribacillus simplex. RNAcentral's name for it is "bacterial SSU rRNA". It matches the Rfam family "Bacterial small subunit ribosomal RNA", at positions 95 to 664 of the family's 1533-position model. The record is from RNAcentral. Lineage: Bacteria; Bacillati; Bacillota; Bacilli; Caryophanales; Bacillaceae.
GCGGCGGACGGGUGAUUAACACGUGGGCAACCUGCCUAUAAGACUGGGAUAACUUUGGGAAACCGGAGCUAAUACCGGAUACGUUCUUUUCUCGCAUGAGAGAAGAUGGAAAGACGGUUUACGCUGUCACUUAUAGAUGGGCCCGCGGCGCAUUAGCUAGUUGGUGAGGUAAUGGCUCACCAAGGCGACGAUGCGUAGCCGACCUGAGAGGGUGAUCGGCCACACUGGGACUGAGACACGGCCCAGACUCCUACGGGAGGCAGCAGUAGGGAAUCUUCCGCAAUGGACGAAAGUCUGACGGAGCAACGCCGCGUGAACGAAGAAGGCCUUCGGGUCGUAAAGUUCUGUUGUUAGGGAAGAACAAGUACCAGAGUAACUGCUGGUACCUUGACGGUACCUAACCAGAAAGCCACGGCUAACUACGUGCCAGCAGCCCGCGGUAAUACGUAGGUGGCAAGCGUUGUCCGGAAUUAUUGGGCGUAAAGCGCGCGCAGGUGGUUCCUUAAGUCUGAUGUGAAAGCCCCACGGCUCACCCGUGGAGGGUCAUUGGAACUGGGGAACUUGAGUGCAGAAGAGGAAAGUGG